RNAcentral lists this ribosomal RNA (801 nucleotides) under Triticum aestivum (bread wheat). RNAcentral describes it as "partial small subunit ribosomal RNA". Lineage: Eukaryota; Viridiplantae; Streptophyta; Magnoliopsida; Poales; Poaceae. The record is from RNAcentral.
CCCGAUCUAGGUGCUAUAACCGUCCCGGCCACCGUGCCCGCGACCGUCCUCCCCGCCGCCGACGCCGCCGCCACCUCCAUUGCCUCCCCGGACCCGGCCGCCACGCGCGCCUUCCUAGGCUGCCUCUACGACUUGGCCAAGCGCUCCCUCUCGGGCGCCCGCCCCUGGCCCGAGCUCCUGGACCGUGCCGCGCUCUCGCGCCCGGACUCCCUCUUCGACGCCACCGCCCGCCUCCGCAAGAACCUCGCCUACUUCCGCGUAAACUACGCCGCGCUCAUCGCGCUCUCCCUCCUCGCGCACCCCUUCUCCCUCGUCGCCCUCCUCGCGUUCCUCGCUGCCUGGUGCUUCCUCUACCUCCUCCGCCCCGCCGACGCCGCCCCGCUCAACGCCUUCGGUCACACCUUCUCCGACCCCACUGAUGCGGCGACCCCGCCGGAGGAGGGGGCAGCGCUCCCCGCAGCCAGGGCGAAGCUGGAGAGGAUGCAGCCUCUGGAGUGGCCCCAGAGGGACGCUCUCUGCGGCGAGCUCGGGGCGGGCGACGCCGGGCGCCGGGUCCGGCUCUACGGCUGGGUCGCCCUCCGCCGCUCCCACGCUGGCCUCACCUGCCUCACCCUCCACGACUCCUCCAGCAUGGUCCAGGUGACCCACGAUGCACCGCGGCCCGCCUCCCAUGGCGCGCCCCCGCCCCGAACCCAUCGACCGCGAGAAGGUCAGCCAGGCCUCCGCAACCCUAACGUUUUUACUUGUUAUACUAGCGUGCGGGCAGAUGCUAGUGUGCAGUUCAGUAAGCACUGUAUUUAG